ACAAAGCCUUACUCUGUGAAUUAUUUAUUCCAUAAUCAAUCAAAUACCUAUUGGCUAAAGCCCAAUCUACCCUUACACAAGAACUAAUUGCAACCCCAACAGAUAACCCUAACUUGUUACAAUCACUCACCCAAAUUGCCUUACUUACAACAAAGUGCAAAUUACAAAGUAAAUGCUAGCUACAAUUACAAAAGAAAAAUAAAACAAAAGCACUCCACAAAAGAUGCAUUGGCACGUGCAUAAGUGCUGCCUAUUUAUAGGGAAAAUAUGAUAGCUUCUUUAAGUAACAUUGUAAAGAAAAAAUCACCAUUUGGAUUGUAACAUUAUCCAAGAUAAAGUCAUCGAGUUUCAAUCUCAAAUAGUCAACUCAAUUACCAAGUAAAAGGCUUAAAGGAUAAGAAUAAGUUCCUAAGAUAAGGAAAGUCGAUCCUUCAUUCUCUUUCUCUCCCAAAUUUGAUUAACAUCAUUGAGGAUAGAAUAAAACAUGGCUUAAGGAUCAUUUAUUGAGUGUCUAACACAUUGUAAGGCCCAAGUUUAGCCCAGGCCCGUACAAACACAAAACACAAAAGAAAAAAUUAUUAUAAUAAAAAUAUUAUAACAGUCUAAAUUUAAAGGUCUAUUUACAAAUUUUCGGGCCUAAACCAAACCAAACCCAAGCAUUAAAUACCAAACUAACCCCUAACCCAAUAAACCUAACCCGAAUAGCCUAAUAAUCCUAACCCAAGGAACCCAAAAGCCCAAAUGUAGAAAUGGCCAAAUGGCCCAAAUGACCCAAAUUUUGGUUUCAGAAAGGGAAACCCUAGCAGCAAUGAGCGCUGUAGCCCGCAGCCCACAGCACCGUAAGACCGCCACGAGAGACCUCUGUACGCCCUACGCCGAGUGCCACGCACACCUCUGUAUGCCCCACAGCUAGCCCCGUAGCCUAUACCUGCACACCAAACGCAAGAGGACAACAGCAAAUACAAAAAAAAUAGAAAAUUUUUUAUUUUUAUUUGAUUUUUUAUUUUCGGCUAUAAAGCCAAGAGAUUUCAUUUUUGUAAGGUUUACCCACACAUAAUAAAGAAAAAGCAAUCAAAAAUAGCAAAGGUGAUUUCGAGUUUUUUCUCCUUCCCUCUCGAUUUAUUUUCUUUUUGGUUGGUUCGAUUUUUUAGUAUGUGAAUCGACACCGAUGAAAGCCCAAAUACCUCGUAGAUGCGAGGUAAGGGCGAGGGGUCGAACAGUGUUGAAAGCUUCCUUGUUCUAUGAACCUUUCUUCGUUUUUUUCUUUAAAAAUAACAUGGGAUUUGAAGUUUUUUUCAAAUAAAGAAGAAAAGGAGAACGAAUACACUCACUAAAUUCCUUUAGGCGAGGUCAAGCACCUUCAGUGGCGGGAUCGGGGUACUGUUGCGCGCUAUUGGUCAUCAGUUGUGAUGGUGGUUCGACGGGUGCGGCAAAAUAAGCCCUAGCAGAAUGGUGCCCUUGUUUUUUAAAGCAAAAGACUGGUUAUGUUUAAAAAGAAAAUGAAUAAAAAUAAGGGUUUAAAGGCUAAAUUAAAAACAGCGGCGUUCAAAAAGGGUAAAGAUCCGUGUGUUGACCCGAUUAGCAGGCCGGAUCCGUGCGCCUUUGCUUAAAUUGGGAAAUUUGCGCGCGUGGCCCUUCUCCUUCGUGCUAAUUUUGAAUUAGGUCGUAUUUACACUUUAUUUGUUUUUUUAAAUUUCACCUGAAAUUAGGGUAUCGUAUCAAUUUGAUUCCGGGCCUAAACAAUGCGUUUUGGGAUUUAGAUUAUUUAUUGCUUUAGUCCUUGUGUAUUCGCG
This 1793-nucleotide long non-coding RNA is filed under the name Gossypium barbadense (sea-island cotton). Its description in RNAcentral is "long non-coding RNA (GBAR_LNC004930)". The record is from RNAcentral. Lineage: Eukaryota; Viridiplantae; Streptophyta; Magnoliopsida; Malvales; Malvaceae.